This 252-nucleotide ribosomal RNA is filed under the name uncultured bacterium. RNAcentral's name for it is "partial 16S ribosomal RNA". It matches the Rfam family "Bacterial small subunit ribosomal RNA", at positions 524 to 776 of the family's 1533-position model. The record is from RNAcentral.
UACGUAGGUCCCGAGCGUUGUCCGGAUUUAUUGGGCGUAAAGCGAGCGCAGGUGGUUUAUUAAGUCUGGUGUGAAAGGCAGUGGCUCAACCAUUGUAUGCAUUGGAAACUGGUAGACUUGAGUGCAGGAGAGGAGAGUGGAAUUCCAUGUGUAGCGGUGAAAUGCGUAGAUAUAUGGAGGAACACCGGUGGCGAAAGCGGCUCUCUGACCUGUAACUGGCACUGAGGCUCGAAAGCGUGGGGAGCAAACAGG